UUAAAUUGAAGAGUUUGAUCAUGGCUCAGAUUGAACGCUGGCGGCAGGCCUAACACAUGCAAGUCGAGCGGAAACGAGUUAUCUGAACCUUCGGGGAACGAUAACGGCGUCGAGCGGCGGACGGGUGAGUAAUGCCUAGGAAAUUGCCCUGAUGUGGGGGAUAACCAUUGGAAACGAUGGCU
This 182-nucleotide ribosomal RNA is filed under the name Vibrio parahaemolyticus. Its description in RNAcentral is "partial 16S ribosomal RNA". It matches the Rfam family "Bacterial small subunit ribosomal RNA", at positions 1 to 164 of the family's 1533-position model. The record is from RNAcentral. Lineage: Bacteria; Pseudomonadati; Pseudomonadota; Gammaproteobacteria; Vibrionales; Vibrionaceae.